CCUACGGGCGGCAGCAGUGUGGAAUAUUGGUCAAUGGGCGCGAGCCUGAACCAGCCAAGUCGCGUGAGGGAGGAUGGCCCUACGGGUUGUAAACCUCUUUUGCCGGGGAGCAACGGGCGUCACGUGUGGCGCCACUGAGAGUACCCGGAGAAAAAGCAUCGGCUAACUCCGUGCCAGCAGCGGCGGUAAUACGGAGGAUGCGAGCGGUAUCCGGAUUUAUUGGGUUGAAAGGGUGCGUAGGCGGAUCGUUAAGUCAGUGGUCAAAUUGAGGGGCUCAACCCCUUCCCGCCAUUGAAACUGGCGUUCUUGAGUGGGAGAGAAGUAUGCGGAAUGCGUGGUGUGGCGGUGAAAUGCAUAGAUAUCACGCAGAACCCCGAUUGCGAAGGCAGCAUGCCGGCUUCCGACUGACGCUGAAGCACGAAAGCGUGGGGAUCGAACAGGAUUAGAUACCCCAGUAGUC
This 460-nucleotide ribosomal RNA is filed under the name uncultured bacterium. Its description in RNAcentral is "partial 16S ribosomal RNA". It matches the Rfam family "Bacterial small subunit ribosomal RNA", at positions 338 to 795 of the family's 1533-position model. The record is from RNAcentral.